RNAcentral lists this ribosomal RNA (253 nucleotides) under uncultured bacterium. RNAcentral describes it as "partial 16S ribosomal RNA". It matches the Rfam family "Bacterial small subunit ribosomal RNA", at positions 524 to 776 of the family's 1533-position model. The record is from RNAcentral.
UACGUAGGGACCAAGCGUUGUUCGGAUUUACUGGGCGUAAAGGGCGCGUAGGCGGCUUGACAAGUCGAAGGUGAAAUCCCUCGGCUCAACUGAGGAACUGCCUUUGAAACUGUCUGGCUUGAGGCCGGGAGGGGGUAGCGGAAUUCCCAGUGUAGCGGUGAAGUGCGUAGAUAUUGGGAGGAACACCAGUGGCGAAGGCGGCUCACUGGACUGGUACUGACGCUGAGGCGCGAAAGCGUGGGGAGCAAACGGG